UAGGAAAUGAUCUGAUUCCAUCCAUAAUGCUUGUUGCAUUUCCUUUGGCUUAUGGUCUGCAGAUUUUUCACUUUCAUUUUUUUCACUCACUGGUAUUUCCUUCCUGCACCACUGCUGGGUGACUACAGGCAUUGCUGGCAGAAAUUCGCCUUGGAAGACUGACAGUUUGCCUGGAACAUCCAGUUACAAAUGUGAUGCUCACCUGAACCUCAGAGUGUUGCAAAGCACCUUGACACUUUCGGCACUUACUGACUGAAGUCAGAAUUGGAGGUUUUCACACAAUGACCAACAGCUGUUCUACCUAAUCAGGCUGCAGCAGACAGCAAACAGUGAAGCGGGCGAAUUUGCCAUUUAUAUGGAUAGCUUUGCAAAGCAACCCAGCUCCUUCAAAAAGAGGUAAGUGUAAUGCACAAUAUGGCAGUUCUUUUAAAAUUGAUGCUUAAAUCUAUUUUAUUUGUAUAUGAGA
RNAcentral lists this long non-coding RNA (466 nucleotides) under Coturnix japonica (Japanese quail). Its description in RNAcentral is "lncRNA (ENSCJPG00005016458.1)". Lineage: Eukaryota; Metazoa; Chordata; Aves; Galliformes; Phasianidae. The record is from RNAcentral.